This 1279-nucleotide long non-coding RNA is filed under the name Phoenix dactylifera (date palm). Its description in RNAcentral is "long non-coding RNA (PDAC_LNC012858)". Lineage: Eukaryota; Viridiplantae; Streptophyta; Magnoliopsida; Arecales; Arecaceae. The record is from RNAcentral.
UAUGGGUGAACAUGACAUACCUGAGGUCCACCGGACUGCCUAUUUAUAUAGAGCAAUUCAUUUUGUCGUUUUCUGAGUUAAUGCGACAUGCGUUAAUAGCCAGUCCUAUGUUUACGACGUGGGUAUCAUUCCUUGAGGAUGGCGUACAACACUAAUCGCGUGCCGACUGUAGUGCUGCCGAAUUUGCCGGUGGUCAGUGAUGUCAAUUCUUGUCGGCACGUGCCAAUUGGCCUUUCAGCUGAUUGGCUCCUUGGCAGGGCCAAAGUCCCUACUUCGGUUUAUACCAAGGUCAAAGAAGUCGGUCUGAUUUGAGGUCGAGGUGCCUAAUAUUUUCCCCAUCACUAAUCAUCUUUUGGGUGCAAAAAUCUCACAACAACUACUACCCAUGGGCAAUCGGUGCCUUAUUGAUAUUGAAAAUGAUCUCAGAUAUGAUUGGACAGGCCUUCAGCCCAUAAGCCAACUAUAUUACUUAUAACUAAAUGCUUUCUCUAAAUCAAUAACAACUAAAUCUAGAUUAUUUCUCCUCCUCAACUCUUCCUAUCCUUUAACCUACUUAAAUAAAAAUUAUCAUGAUGGCAGACCGUCCUAACAUUUAGCAAAAAACCUACACUCGCAGGGGAAAAGUUGAACAGAUCAACACCAAAACAAAUCAUUGCAUGUCAAUCACAAACCCACACAAUCAUAUGAUCGAACACUUGAUGCAAACAAAGAUAUCAAAAAAAUAAAAAAAGAACCAAGAUGAUAAAGGAGAAGAUUCAUUGAUGCAGAACUAUAACGCCCCUCCCCCCACCCAAACACACACACACACAAAAGAAAAAGAAAACCAUGAAUCUUGAUUUGGAAUAAUAAAUCCCAGUACAAAUUCUUAUGAGUUUCUACCCAAUAUUUAAAGAGGAGCCAGAAAACGAUACCUUGGCCGCAGUUUCUUCGACCACGUCGGUUUCUGUGGCAUCUCCAUUGGCAGCAGCUAAGGGCGGAAAUCUUGGGAAGCGUAGAGGUCUUUCAGGGAAAGGGGAUAGGUUUAGACGUAGAGGCCUUGCGAGCCUCUGAUUAGGAAAGAAGAUCGCAACGCUCCUCGGAGUCUCGCGAGAUGCGACGGCCGGCCUCGGCGAGCGGAAGAGGAGAGCCGGAGUCCCAAGGAUUGCGGCCAUUGGUUGUUGGUGAGAAGAGACGAGCGAGAGCGAGGAGCUGCUAGGGAUAGGCCGAGGCGAAUCCGACCGGAAGGUUCAGGAGACUUCAGCUGCUUUCGAGCCCCGACCGUCCGGGCGAGGAGUAUCCG